This 468-nucleotide ribosomal RNA is filed under the name uncultured bacterium. RNAcentral's name for it is "partial 16S ribosomal RNA". It matches the Rfam family "Bacterial small subunit ribosomal RNA", at positions 28 to 507 of the family's 1533-position model. The record is from RNAcentral.
GACGAACGCUGGCGGCGUGCUUAACACAUGCAAGUCGAACGGAAAGGCCCUGCUUUUGUGGGGUGCUCGAGUGGCGAACGGGUGCGUAACACGUGAGUAACCUGCCCUUGACUUUGGGAUAACUUCAGGAAACUGGGGCUAAUACCGGAUAGGAGCUCCUGCUGCAUGGUGGGGGUUGGAAAGUUUCGGCGGUUGGGGAUGGACUCGCGGCUUAUCAGCUUGUUGGUGGGGUAGUGGCUUACCAAGGCUUUGACGGGUAGCCGGCCUGAGAGGGUGACCGGCCACAUUGGGACUGAGAUACGGCCCAGACUCCUACGGGAGGCAGCAGUGGGGAGUAUUGCACAAUGGGCGGAAGCCUGAUGCAGCAACGCCGCGUGCGGGAUGACGGCCUUCGGGUUGUAAACCGCUUUCGCCUGUGACGAAGCGUGAGUGACGGUAAUGGGUAAAGAAGCACCGGCUAACUACGUG